Molecule: ribosomal RNA, 253 nt
Filed under: uncultured bacterium
Lineage: Bacteria
Description: partial 16S ribosomal RNA
Rfam family: Bacterial small subunit ribosomal RNA
Source: RNAcentral
UACGAAGGGGGCUAGCGUUGCUCGGAAUUACUGGGCGUAAAGGGCGCGUAGGCGGGAUGGCAAGUCGGUCGUGAAAUCCCUCGGCUCAACUGAGGAGCGUCGAUCGAAACUGCCGUUCUUGAGGGUUGCAGAGGAGACUGGAAUUCCCGGUGUAGCGGUGAAAUGUGUAGAGAUCGGGAGGAACACCGGUGGCGAAGGCGGGUCUCUGGGCAACUCCUGACGCUGAGGCGCGAAAGCGUGGGGAGCAAACGGG